This 2965-nucleotide long non-coding RNA is filed under the name Homo sapiens (human). RNAcentral describes it as "HSALNT0353225". Lineage: Eukaryota; Metazoa; Chordata; Mammalia; Primates; Hominidae. The record is from RNAcentral.
GGGACUUGGAGAAUCUUUAUGUCUAGCUAAGAGAUUGUGAAUACACCAAUUGGUACUCUGUAUCUAGCUCACGGUUUGUAAAUGCACCAAGCAGCACUCUGUGUCCAGCUCAGGGUUUGUAAAUACACCAAUCAGCACUCUGUAUCCAGCUAAUCUAGUGAAGACGUGCAGAACUUUUGUGUCUAGCUCAGGGAUUGUAAAUGCACCAAUCAGCACCCUGUCAAAACAGACCAAUCAGCUCUCUGUAAAACAGACCAAUCGGCUCUCUGUAAAAUGGACCAAUCAGCAGGAUGUGGGGGAUGUGGGGGUGGGGGGGGUGGGGGGGGUGGGGGGGUGGGGGCGGCCAGAUAAGACAAUAAAAGCAGGCUGCAGGAGCCAGCAGCGGCAAACCGCUCGGCUUCCCGGCUGUGUUCUUUGGCUGUUUGCUGUAAAUCUUGCUACUGCUCACUCUUGGGGUCGACACUUCCUUUAUGAGCUGUAACACUCACCGUGAAUGUCUGCAGCUUCACUCUUGAAGCCAUGGAGACCACGAACCCACCGGAAGGAAGGAACAACUCCAGACGCGCCGCCUUAAGAGCUGUAACACUCACCGCGAAAGUCUGCAGCUUCACUCCUGAGCCAAGGAGACCACGAACCCACCAGAGGAAAGAAACUCUGAACACAUCCGACCAUCAGAAGGAACAAAUUCCGGAGUGCUGCCUUUAAGAACUGUAACACUCAGCGCGAGCGUCCGCAGCUUCAUUCUUCAAGUCAGUGAGACCAAGAACCCACCAAUUCCGGACACAAUAUUACCUAUUCAUAAAAGUUAUAGCAUAAAAUGCAUUCACUUAAAAUUACAAAUAUACACACUUUUGAUCUAACAAUUUAACCUCUGACAGUUACACCUUAGCUAUCUGACAGGUACACCUUUGCAUGUGCAAAAUGAUGUAUGCAAAAUGAUAUUCAUUACAGCAUUGACUGAGAGAGCAAAAGACUAGAAAUGAUCUAAAUAUCUAUCAAAUAAGUCUGGUGAAAUAAGCUAUGUACCCCUGCACAAUGGAAUAUGUUGUAGCCAUAUAAGAAAUAAUGAAGAAUUUCAUUAAGUAGUGAUAAGGAAUGAUCUCUGAGAUAUAUGGCUAAGCAGAAAAGAGAUGGUAGUAAAAACGGAUGUAUGGUACAGUAUGCCAAAAUGUUUGCAUAAGAAAGGGGAAUACUGGAUAUAUUUGGACUUUAUAUACGUGCAUACAAUGGCUCUGGGGAGAAAAAACAAACACACAAAAAAACAUUGGUUGCUUAUGGUUUCUGCUUUUUCUUCAUAGCAUUGUCAUUAUGUUAAAUUAUUUCACACACUUGAUUUGUUUGCAUGCUUGUUUUCUGUUUCCUCCAUUAGAAUGUAGGCACCAAGGGGGCAAAGUCUAAUCUGAUACGUUUACAUAGGUAUCCCCCUACACCUUGGACAAGUGUGUGGCACAUAAUAGAUGCUCAAUAAAUGGUUGUUGAAUAUUGUUUGACAGAAAUAAAUAAGCCUUUUCUCUGACCAUGAUGUGGCCUUUUAGGGGAUGACAGCAUUGUGAUCACAAACCUUCAAAGGAUCUUCUGUCUUCAAGGCAAAAUGUUUUUAAAAAGCCAAAAAGUAGUCAUAAGAAACUGCUAACAGAAUAACGAGGAAUGUAAAAUGUCAGCCUUCACCUAUUAAUAAUUGUUACAGCAUAUUACGUCUCUGACUGAAUCUUCUACAAACAAGCAAUUAAGGUAAUCUUCAUCACAGGAGGUAGUUUGAAGAAGUCAAAGCCACAACGUAUUUCAAACAGCUGGGGAACAGCAGAAAUACUGGAGGAAAAAGCCAACAUCCUGUGAGCUGGUGUUAUUGUAGAAUUUAAAAAUAACUGUCGAGAUGGAACACAAUCAUUUAUGAGGCACCAAAUUAGAUUCUUGGGUCGCUACAGUUGUUCAGAGGACAGAACGGAGAUUUCUAGAUGUUACCUUGGCAAUGAAGUAAAGCAAUUGCUUGUGGACGUUGUUAGCUUGUGAAGGUGGUCAAGAUUCAAAUUCGCAGGUCAUCAUAGAGGGGAAAAUAAAACUUCCAAAGUGUUUCUAAUUUGUCCUAUUCUUGAAUAUAUAUUUAAAAUUAGGAGAUGUGUAUUUUCACUAAGUUCUUCAAUACGGGACUUCAAACCUGUCCUACUCUUCAAGCUCUUUUGAGUGUAAGGCUAAUGCACACAUAUCCAUACCCACUCAGGCACUAAGAAGACUACUCCUUGCCUCUGGCUUAGCCCUGAUUCUGGCUGUGCCACUUUUAUUCCCUUAUUUGGUGUUGUGUGAUGUUUCACUGGGCAGGUUUAAUGGCCUUCACAAAGUAUCCAUCUGAUCUAUCCACUCAGUGAUUUUUAUCAUUGUAAGUAAACUUUGCCCAUUCUACCUACCUCGAGAAAAGAUACAUUGACUUGAAACUAACAUGGUUUUGUGAUUUCUAGCAGGCACCAGGCCCCAUUUCACCAAUUUUUUAUUAGCCCAAGUGUAGCAGAUCCUGUCAGUGUCUGGCCCAUUUCCCCUGGCCAUACCCUCCACAAUUUUAAAGUUUAAAGCAAACACCUGCAAAAGACUCAAGCGUCUUUUGCUCUGACUGAGAGCCCACUCAGCCUGGAACAUCACAGGACAGAACUGCACAGAGUUAGUGCCCCAGGAAGCAGCCCCUAACAUGACUGAUGGAUGGAUACCCUGCUUCCUCACCCCUGGUUGAGAUAACCCUGAGGUGCGUUCCACUGAUUUCCUAAGCUCCCCAGUGGCUCACAGGAGUAACUGGCUCCGUAACUCAGCCUUACUUGGUUACCGUCCUUUAUAGGUGCUCUGACUCCCCUUCUGGAGUUUCCUGGGAUUAACUUUCAAAUAAUCUCCUUCAACUGAGUCCUUGUCUUGGUAUCUGCUUUUGAGAGAACCUGUGCUAAGACAAAACACUAGAAAAUUAACAAAAUAUACCAAUAUUUCC